This 272-nucleotide ribosomal RNA is filed under the name uncultured prokaryote. Its description in RNAcentral is "partial 16S ribosomal RNA". It matches the Rfam family "Bacterial small subunit ribosomal RNA", at positions 524 to 794 of the family's 1533-position model. The record is from RNAcentral.
UACGUAGGGGGCAAGCGUUAUCCGGAUUUACUGGGGUGUAAAGGGAGCGCAGACGGAACUGCAAGUCUGAUGUGAAAGCCCGGGGCUCAACCGCGGGACUGCAUUGGAAACUGUAGAUCUGGAGUGCCGGAGGGGCAAGCGGAAUUCCUGGUGUAGCGGUGAAAUGCGUAGAUAUCAGGAGGAACACCGGCGGCGAAGGCGGCUUGCUGGACGGCAACUGACGUUGAGGCUCGAAAGCGUGGGGAGCAAACAGGAUUAGAUACCCCUGUAGU